CCCUUGUUUGAUUAGCCAGCCUUUCUUCAUGUACAUCAAAUCCUGGAACGUCAAUUUUCAAAUUGAGAAAAAGAGGACAUGCAAAGCUAUUUUCAGCUCCAAAGCAUGAUAGUUUUUAACACCUACAUACCAAACCUACAGUAUAUGCAGAUGAGGCAGAUUUCCACAUGUCAUCACUAUAUAUACUCUACGAAAACAAUAUGGAGUGUUGAUCUUACCUCAUAUCGCGAGGACUGACUUGGGGUUCCACUAAUUACAGCUACUUCUGACGGUGUACCUCUACAGAGCUGUGUUGGACCUUGUUAUAAAGACUCACCCGUAACACACAGAAGUAUUGUAUCCACUGAACACAGAAACACUACAUCUACUGACUCAGAGUGAAGGCUUUACAAACCUCCCAUGAUUUAUAUUACUUUCUUUGAAGUAAUCUUAGAAUGACAGACAAUAAAACUAUAAAUGUCUUUAAAUUUUAUACCCACAACAUUUUUAACACUACUUACAUGUGCAGUGUAUAUUCUACUUAAAGCGAGUUUCAUUUCCAUCCACUAACAUCAGUACUGAAUUACAAAUUAGUGCAUAUGAAUUCUUAAGAAAACUUAUGCAUUAAAAUCUUUGCAU
Molecule: long non-coding RNA, 618 nt
Organism: Ostrea edulis (European flat oyster)
Lineage: Eukaryota; Metazoa; Mollusca; Bivalvia; Ostreida; Ostreidae
Exons: 3
Source: RefSeq, a predicted model, not a curated record